UACGAGUCUCACGAACGUUAUUCGGAAUUACUGGGCUUAAAGGGUGCGUAGGCGGUGAAGUAAGUCGGGUGUGAAAUGUCAUAGCUUAACUAUGGAACUGCACUCGAUACUAUUUUGCUAGAGUAAGACAGAGGUGAGUGGAACUGAGGGUGGAGCGGUGAAAUGCGUUGAUAUCCUCAGGAACACCGGUGGCGAAGGCGACUCACUGGGUCUUUACUGACGCUGAUGCACGAAAGCUAGGGUAGCAAACGGG
Molecule: ribosomal RNA, 253 nt
Filed under: uncultured bacterium
Lineage: Bacteria
Description: partial 16S ribosomal RNA
Rfam family: Bacterial small subunit ribosomal RNA
Source: RNAcentral